This 1257-nucleotide long non-coding RNA is filed under the name Fukomys damarensis (Damara mole-rat). RNAcentral's name for it is "lncRNA (ENSFDAG00000023396.1)". The record is from RNAcentral. Lineage: Eukaryota; Metazoa; Chordata; Mammalia; Rodentia; Bathyergidae.
CCUGUCUUGGAUGGGAUCAGAUACCCAGGCCUGGACCACACACCACUGGGCUGGUCUGAGAACCAAGGGUCUUCCUGUGAAACAGCUGGGAUCUCUGCAACCCACACAGAUGCUGGGGAAACCAUCCCAGGAGGCCUGGCUGAUAUCAGAGGUGUCUAUGAUUCCUUCUGGGUUCUCAUGUGGAAUGGACAGUGUCUCAUUCUCAGGGGCAACAAUGGACUUUGCUGGUAGUUGGUGAUCGCAGAAUGAGGUAAGUGUUCAACACCAUAGAUUAUGAUGCCGCAGAGGAAUCUCAUGCGGUCUGUGGAACGUUCAACUUGGGUUCACACAGCAAAGCAUAACCUAUGGGGGCUCGAUUCUCCUUUUGGGGCACUAUGUCUGCACAGGGUACACAGGGGAAGUAGAAAAAGCAUUUCCUCAGUCCAAGUGAGGACAUGGACCCCAGUAUCCCACUGCUACAUGAACCAUGUGGCAUCUGCCUCCUCCUCGGGGUAGAUCAGGCCUUCAAUGAAGAAGGUUCCUGCCUCGUGAAUACUCAAAAAAAUGACUCUACUGUGGAAAAUAUGAACAUGCCUGUGUCCCAGAUCAUCCCACCACUACCCCCUUCAUCUGUAGAAUCACCCAGAGCUCCACACCCCGACUGGACCUGCAGAAUCCUCUUCAUGGUGGCAGCUUCAACAGUGCUGCCUGGACCCUACCUGACACACUAUCAUCUCCCACAGCCAUGGCUUACACUGGCUCGCUCCUGGUGCUGAGGAAUGAAGAAGUUAUAUGAGGAAGUGGCCAAGUGCCCGUGGCCCCACCUUUCCUACUCCUGAUCCACUGCCCGAGCAUCCCCAAGUGGGCAUGGGCAGCUGAAAGCUCUCAGCUGGGACAAGUUUCAGGAAUGUUAGUAAACAAAUUUACUGGAAAACAGAAAUGUAAGCAGUACAUCAAAAUGAGUAUACAUGGGAGGAGAGACAGCCAGAGUUAUCAGAGUGUAGUGACUCCUGGGACUUCGAGAGAAACAGACUGAGAAUCGAUGUCAAGAGGUCUUCGGAAGAGACUUGUAGAUGGAUAUCUUGGAGUGGUUGACCAAGAUGAAGGUACUGUGACUCCCUGGAUGCCCCCUAAGUGAUCACCUCAGGAAGAAGACUUGAAUAAGUGGACAGCAUGACCCCUUGCACAUAUGUGGAUUCUAGUAGGUCCAUGAAGACAGGGCUCAGGGUUGAAGGAUGAACCCUCCACGUACAUGAACUGUACAACAUCAAUACCCUG